UGUUGAGCUCUAUAUGCUCACCCCGUUGUUGUAUAAAUUUUUCAGGAUAGCUUGUCGCUUGCUUAAAUGUUAAGAUUGGGCUGAGGCGGUGGAAAGCUAAAAUAUUUUGGGCAGAUCUUUAUUAGUAUAUAUGUUUUUAUUGUAUAAGCACACGCUACAUCUAAUGAAAUGUUGACGAUGAAUCUAAACUUGUGGAUUUUGUAUAAGUUUAAAGGACCUCUC
Molecule: long non-coding RNA, 222 nt
Filed under: Musa acuminata (dwarf banana)
Lineage: Eukaryota; Viridiplantae; Streptophyta; Magnoliopsida; Zingiberales; Musaceae
Description: long non-coding RNA (MACU_LNC008374)
Source: RNAcentral